This 711-nucleotide ribosomal RNA is filed under the name Staphylococcus sp. RNAcentral describes it as "bacterial SSU rRNA". It matches the Rfam family "Bacterial small subunit ribosomal RNA", at positions 94 to 792 of the family's 1533-position model. Lineage: Bacteria; Bacillati; Bacillota; Bacilli; Caryophanales; Staphylococcaceae. The record is from RNAcentral.
GGCGGCGGACGGGUGAGUAACACGUGGAUAACCUACCUAUAAGACUGGGAUAACUUCGGGAAACCGGAGCUAAUACCGGAUAACAUAUUGAACCGCAUGGUUCAAUAGUGAAAGGCGGCUUUGCUGUCACUUAUAGAUGGAUCCGCGCCGUAUUAGCUAGUUGGUAAGGUAACGGCUUACCAAGGCAACGAUACGUAGCCGACCUGAGAGGGUGAUCGGCCACACUGGAACUGAGACACGGUCCAGACUCCUACGGGAGGCAGCAGUAGGGAAUCUUCCGCAAUGGGCGAAAGCCUGACGGAGCAACGCCGCGUGAGUGAUGAAGGUCUUCGGAUCGUAAAACUCUGUUAUCAGGGAAGAACAAAUGUGUAAGUAACUGUGCACAUCUUGACGGUACCUGAUCAGAAAGCCACGGCUAACUACGUGCCAGCAGCCGCGGUAAUACGUAGGUGGCAAGCGUUAUCCGGAAUUAUUGGGCGUAAAGCGCGCGUAGGCGGUUUUUUAAGUCUGAUGUGAAAGCCCACGGCUCAACCGUGGAGGGUCAUUGGAAACUGGAAAACUUGAGUGCAGAAGAGGAAAGUGGAAUUCCAUGUGUAUCGGUGAAAUGCGCAGAGAUAUGGAGGAACACCAGUGGCGAAGGCGACUUUCUGGUCUGUAACUGACGCUCAUGUGCGAAAGCGUGGGGAUCAAACAGGAUUAUAUACCCUGGUG